AAAGCUCAAAAGACCCUUAUUCGAUCAUUUUGCUAUUUAGAACAUAUAACAUUACCCAAAAAACCCUUCGACUCCCUUCGAUUCUACCAUGGAUUUUCCCCUCGAUUCGCACACAAAUUUACCUCGAUAUUUACUGGAUUUCUCCAAUAGUUGAUUCUUAGCUUGUUCGUGGUUGGCUUUUGGCUUAAUUUUCUCUGAAGUUUAAAGAGUUCGUUCGUCGAGAUCAAACAACUGAAUAUUUUAGUGGACAUUUGUAGGUUAGGAUUAUAUUUCUUGACUAAUAUAGUGUAAAAAUAACUGUUUUUUUUAUUUUUACACAUUCGUGUCUUUGUUUGCAUUUUAGGAUUUUUAAUCUGUUCAAUUGAAAAGGUCAGGGUUUGUGGUUAAAUUAGGGUUUUUUCUUAGGAAAUUGCGUUGUCAUAUGUUUUAGUAUGUUCAUUAAACCUUCAUUAUUCCUAAGUAUCUGCUGCAAUUUUUUCACAAAAAUUAGAUCGUUUUGAACUUUGAUCCUGCAUAAGCCACUGUUGCUUAGUGAAAUUGAAUACGUUUUCCUGUUGUACUUGCUUGCUUUGUAUUUUUCAAGUAUGAAUGGGUUUCUUUAAGUGACUUUGAGAUGGUUUUAUAAGUGAAUUUAAUGAGGUAAAAAUAUAUUUUUAAUUAAUCAAAAUUAAGUGAGACAAGUUUAUGUGCAAUAGAUGUCAUGAAUAUGGAGUAGUAUUAAUUUGGUGUAAUACUCGAUGAUGGGAGUAAAGUCUUACUAGCAGAGCAGCAAUAUGAAUUUUUUUUUCCUCGAAUUGAAUUGGCAAAUGAACAAAUUUUAUGGGGUCAAAGACUUACUUUUGUAUUUUUCUUCAUUGAUGCUUCUGACGUUGUAAUUAAUUAUUCGCUAAGGUCAUCAUUAGAACUUAGAAUUCCAUAUCCUAUGCAUCGUUAACGAGAUCAAGUAUAGCAAUUACUAUGCUCACUGGUAUCACCAUAUCCAAUAAUUUAUAAAUAUAAAUUUAAUUUUAAUAAGUGUUCGGUCCACGGUUUGCCAUGUUUGAGGGGCUCUCAUCAGCUAGGAGCUCCGUAUAACUUUUUUUUACUAUUAGCUGACAAGUUCUUUUGCCGCAAAUAAUCGAAGGAAAAAAAUACGAUUGAUUGUCCUGUUUGUGAAAGAAAGUAAGCUUCUUGUGUUCAUUUUCGAACUCCUAUGUUCUUUCUUCCACAACAAUUGGCUUUUAAGAACUACUAGUUGAUAUUGUAAAAUAAUUAUAUUUUUCGUAUCGGACAUUAAAAGUUUACCGUGAAUUGCUUAUACUAAAUUGUAAAGGCCCUUUACUUUCCAAAAUAAUAGACAACACCAAACGAAAAGGGUAUUUCUGUUUAACUCUAUUUAUAUAUUCUCUCCCUACUACCAACCAACCUAUAUUCUAUCUUCCCAACCAACCAACAUAUAUUCUAUCUUCACAACCAACCUCCUAUAUUCUCUUUCCACAAGAAAAUGAAGAAGGGUUUAAGCAAAUUGAUCGACCAAAUAUUUACUUGGGCAAACCAAUGCAACGUACAAGGUUCAACCCUCAAUCAUAUGCAGCUCACCAAACUUGGUGUUUACACCGUUAGGGAGGUAAAACUCUAACUGUGUAAAAGCGAAGCUCGACGAAAAUCGAAAGAGGUGUCAACGUGGUGAAAAAAGCGGCGGGUGGUCUUUGAUAAUGGAAAACAAAAAGAGGAGAAUAAGGAUUAAGUGGAAAAUGUUGAUGAUUAUGAAGAGGAUGACGUUGAUGAUUAGGAAAAACAGUUUUCAGAACACGAUCACACCAGUUCAAAGCCAUCAUUUUCAGAGCACGAUCAUAUAGACGCAGAUCAGCAACUGACUUUACCUAAGUCAAAAGAUCAAGGUAGUGGAACAUCAACUGAGGAGCACCUGGCUGAUCCAAGCGCCUCCAAACAAUCAAUAAUGCAUGGCAAACGGCCUCAAGUACAUCCUUGGACCAACGCUGGAUGAAGCGAACUCGUUCUUCGAUGUCGACCUCCACUCCAACAACAAUACAACCUGGGGGAGCUAGAUAUGCUCGGAGAGAAGGCACCAUAAGUUGGAGCCUAUACAUGAGUACUCCAUUUGUCACGGAAAACGAACCAGCAGGAAGAUAUUGGACAGUGGGCGGUAGGACCUCAAAGAGUCGGGGACCAAAAGCAGCAAUUGUACAUUAACAGCUUGUUCAUCAGGCUGUACGGACAUGUCAAUAGGCUGUAUCGGCACAUCAGUAAGAUGUAAGGCCACAUCAGCAGCCUAAACGGGCACAUCAACAGCUUUAGGUUGGUACUUGCUCUUUUUUUUUUUUUUUUUUUUAACUAUUUUGACUUGCCUUUUGUUAGGGUCAUAUGUAGGGAAGGGUGUCCAUGGUUGUUAUAUGCCAAACUUUACGAUACAACCAACAGUUUCUAGAUCAAAACUUGUCAUCCUAAACACAGAUGUGUUCAUUUAAUUUAAAUUAUUAAUACGUUGAACACUUUCUUGUUACAAACAAACUACCAUAGCUUGACACCUACACCAACUUGACAACAUUACCAAUAACUCCUUGAACACUUUCUUGAUCUUGACAGUUACAUUUCAGAUAGGCAAUAACUUUAGCACUGUAUGCAAAUCUUUUACCCCAAAUUGAGAUCUCCAUGUCCAUUAUACUUCGUUAGUUUUUUUCUUAAAUUGCUAUCAACUAUUAGCUCUCAAUCCGGAUACAAUUCGGGUCCCGAAUCAGUCGGAUUGUGUUUCGUUAAAUCAGCUCGGCUCGGUCCAGCCCGGCCCCUUGACACCCUUAUUUUACGCUAACAAAUAAAUAAAAUAUUCGAACUUAGUAGGUGAUUGGCCAUGAAAAUCAAAUAUUUUCACCUAUAUGAAAUUUGAAGUUAGGGUUGAAAUUUGAAGAUGGAGUUGUGUUGGGUUAUAGUUUUUAUAUAAUAUUUUUUUUAAAUAUUAGUUUGAAAAUGACAAAGAAUAUUUUGUUGUUUGAAUAUAGUGAAAGUGAAAAAAAGUGAAAACAUUAUUUUAGGUGUUUUUCAAAUUUCGAAUACAACUUUAAACGCUGAAGUAUAAUUAUGAAACUAAGAUUCUACUCCAGGUAAAUCAUCACCUUAACCAAAUAGGAAAAAGAGUGAUGGAAAACUAGAAUCUAGAACAAAUUAUCCUGAGCAUACAGCCUACAACAACUCAGCAACUGUGUUUAUACCAUGUUGAACCCUCCUUUCAUCUUGAGUGUUACACUUCUUAUAGGCAGUUGCUUUAGCAUCAUUUGCAUGAUCUCUAGCCAGAAAAAUGAAAUAGAAUACAUUCAAAAUCAAAAUUAUACCAAACUCAAUUUCAAAAGUACAAAAUAAAAUAUGGAUAAGAAUUUUUUUUACCUCAGUAACAAAAGGAUGGCCUUCAGCUACAAAAUAAUAAAACCAGCUAAUGCAAAGAAAUAAUUAAAGAAUUAAGAAACUUA
Long non-coding RNA from Lycium barbarum (goji berry), 3461 nucleotides. RefSeq lists it as uncharacterized. The record is from RefSeq and is a predicted model, not a curated record. The transcript is spliced from 3 exons. NCBI's taxonomy places the organism in Eukaryota, Viridiplantae, Streptophyta, Magnoliopsida, Solanales, Solanaceae.